This 497-nucleotide ribosomal RNA is filed under the name uncultured bacterium. RNAcentral's name for it is "partial 16S ribosomal RNA". It matches the Rfam family "Bacterial small subunit ribosomal RNA", at positions 28 to 507 of the family's 1533-position model. The record is from RNAcentral.
GACGAACGCUGGCGGCGUGCCUAAUACAUGCAAGUAGAACGCUGAAGGGAGGAGCUUGCUCUUCUUGGAUGAGUUGCGAACGGGUGAGUAACGCGUAAGUAACCUGCCUUGUAGCGGGGGAUAACUAUUGGAAACGAUAGCUAAUACCGCAUAAAAAUGGAUGACACAUGUCAUUUAUUUGAAAGGGGCAAUUGCUCCACUACAAGAUGGACCUGCGUUGUAUUAGCUAGUAGGUGAGGUAAUGGCUCACCGAGGCGGCGAUACAUAGCCGACCUGAGAGGGUGAUCGGCCACACUGGGAAUGGGACACGGCCCAGACUCCUACGGGAGGCAGCAGUAGGGAAUCUUCGGCGAUGGGGGCAACACUGACCGAGCAACGACGCGUGGGUGGAGAAGGUUUUCGGAUCGUAAAGAUCUGUUGUAAGUGAAGAAAGAGUGUGAGAGUGGAAAGUUCACCCUGUGACGGUAGCUUAACAGAAAGGGACGGCUAACUACGUG